UGAUAGUUCAGAUCGCCAAUAACAUUGU
This 28-nucleotide non-coding RNA is filed under the name Rattus norvegicus (Norway rat). The record is from RNAcentral. Lineage: Eukaryota; Metazoa; Chordata; Mammalia; Rodentia; Muridae.